RNAcentral lists this ribosomal RNA (482 nucleotides) under uncultured bacterium. RNAcentral's name for it is "bacterial SSU rRNA". It matches the Rfam family "Bacterial small subunit ribosomal RNA", at positions 30 to 507 of the family's 1533-position model. The record is from RNAcentral.
AUUGAACGCUGGCGGCAUGCCUAACACAUGCAAGUCGAACGGUAACAGGCCUUCGGGCGCUGACGAGUGGCGGGCGGGUGAGUAACGCGUGGGAAUCUGCCUAGUAGUGGGGGACAACCUGGGGAAACUCAGGCUAAUACCGCAUACGCCCUACGGGGGAAAGCAGGGGAUCUUCGGACCUUGCGCUAUUAGAUGAGCCUGCGUCGGAUUAGCUUGUUGGUGGGGUAAAGGCCUACCAAGGCGACGAUCCGUAGCUGGUUUGAGAGGACGAUCAGCCACACUGGGACUGAGACACGGCCCAGACUCCUACGGGAGGCAGCAGUGGGGAAUAUUGGACAAUGGGGGCAACCCUGAUCCAGCAAUGCCGCGUGUGUGAAGAAGGCCUGCGGGUUGUAAAGCACUUUCGGAUGGGAAGAAAAGCUCAAGGCUAAUAUCCUUGAGUCUUGACGUUACUAUCAGAAGAAGCACCGGCUAACUCUGUG